UGAUGCUUAUACCAGACGCUUGAUGGGCAUUUUGAAGUUGGAAGGAAACGUAACAACGUAUGGUAUGGAUGUACAACUUCUUUAUUAUUUACAACACGACAUUUCUUGGCU
Molecule: long non-coding RNA, 111 nt
Organism: Haliotis rubra (blacklip abalone)
Lineage: Eukaryota; Metazoa; Mollusca; Gastropoda; Lepetellida; Haliotidae
Exons: 3
Source: RefSeq, a predicted model, not a curated record